Molecule: long non-coding RNA, 2444 nt
Organism: Physeter macrocephalus (sperm whale)
Lineage: Eukaryota; Metazoa; Chordata; Mammalia; Artiodactyla; Physeteridae
Exons: 3
Source: RefSeq, a predicted model, not a curated record
GGGGAGAAUGGUGGAUGAUUGGAGAAUAAUCUGGGAGUUGAUUUUGAAAUUUUUCUUAUUCUUUUUCUUUGGAUAUUCUAUUUACUCAUUUUCUUUUUGUCUCACUGGAUAGGUUUUUCACUUCAUCAUUGUUAGCAUUGUGUCAAAAAGCUUAGAUCUGACACACACCUGACAGAGGCAUCUCCAUGUUGACUUUCUUAUAUAGCCUUGCUUCUCCAGGUAAUUGGAUAGAAGACUUGUAAGUGGACUUGUGGUCUAAGUGUUCUUAAAAAACCAUUAGAGAGAAAAACCUUGGCAACUUUGCCACUGUAGCUCCUUUAAGACUGAAGAGCAUUAGGAAAGGUCACAUUCUGUGACCUGGAAGACAGAAUGGUGGAAUUCACUGAUGCGGAACAGAAUAAAGAAGAAAGAAUGAAAAGAAAUGAAGACAGCCUAAGAGACCUCUGGGACAAAAUUAAACGCAACAACAUUCUCAUUAGAGGGGUCCCAGAAGGAGAAGAGAGAGAGAAAUGACCCAAGAAAAUAUUUGAAGAGAUAUAGUUGAAAACUUCCCUAACAUGGGAAAGGAAAUAGCCACCCAAGUCCAAGAAGCACAGGGAGUCCCAUAGAGGAUAAACCCAAGGAGAAAUAUGCGGAGACACAUGGUAAUCAAAUUGGCAAAAAUUAAAGACAAAGAAAAAUUAUUGAAAGCAGCAAGGGAAAAACGACAAAUAACAUACAAGGGAACUCCCAUAAGGUUAACAGCUGAUUUCUCAGCAGAAACUCUACAAGUCAGAAGGGAGUGACAUGACAUAUUUAAAGUGAUGAAAGGGAACAGCCUAUAACCAAGAUUACUCUACCCGGCAAGGAUCUCAUUCAGAUUUGACAAAGAAAUCAAAAGCUUUACAGACAAGCAAAAGCUAAAAGAAUUCAGCACCACCACACCAGCUCUACAACAAAUGCUAAAGGAACUUCUCUAAGUUCCUUUAAGUUCCUUCUCUUGUGUUUCUAAGGGAAACACAAGAGAAGAAAAGGACCUACAAAAACAAACCCAAAACAAUUAAGAAAAUGGUAAUAGGAACAUACAUAUCAAUAAUUACCUUAAACGUGAAUGGAUUAAAUGCUCCAACCCAAAGACACAGGCUCGCUGAAUGGGUAAAAAAAUAAGACCAAUAUAUAUGCUGUCUACAAGAGACCCACUUCAGACCUAGGUAUACAUACAGACUGAAAGUGAGGGGAUGGAAAAAGAUAUUCCUUGCAAAUGGAAAUCAAAAGAAAGCUGGAGGAGCAAUACUUAUAUCAGAUAAAAUAGACUUUAAAAUAAAGAAUGUUACAAGAGACAAGGAAGGACACUACAUAAUUAUCAAGGGAUCAAUCCAAGAAGAAGAUAUAACAAUUAUAAAUAUAUAUGCACCAAACUUAGGAGCACCUCAAUACAUAAGGCAACUGCUAACAGGUCUAAAAGAGGAAAUCGGCAGUAACACAAUAAUAGUGGGGGACUUUAACACCUCCCUUACACCAAUGGACAGAUCAUCCAAACAGAAAAUUAAUAAGGAAACACAAGUUUUAAAUGAUACAAUAGACUAGACAGAUUUAAUUGAUAUUUAUAGGACAUUCCAUGCAAAAACAGCAGAUUACACUUUCUUCUCAAGUGUGCACAGAACAUUCUCCAGGAUAGAUCACAUCUUGGUCCACAAAUCAAGCCUCAGUAGAUUUAAGAAAAUUGAAAUCAUAUCAAGCAUAUUUCCUGACAACAACACUAUGAGGUUAGAAAUGAAUUAUAGGGGAAAAAACGUAAAAAACACAAACACAUGGAGGCUAAACAAUACGUUACUAAAUAACCAAGAGAUCACUGAAGAAAUCAAAGAGGAAAUAAAAAUAUACCUAAAGACAAAUGACAAUGAAAACACGACUAUCCAAAACCUAUGGGAUGCAGCAAAAGCAGUUCUAAGAGGGAAGUUUAUAGCAAUACAAUCCUACCUCAAGAAACAACAAACAUCUCACAUAAACAAUAUAACCUUACACCUAACGGAACUAGAGGAAGAAGAACAAACAAAACCCAAAGUUAGCAGAAGGAAAGAAAUCAUAAAAAUCAGAGCAGAAAUAAAUAGAAACAAAGAAGACAAUGGCAAAGAUCAAUAAAACUAAAAGCUGGUUCUUUGAGAAGAUAAACAAAAUUGAUAAACCAUUAGCCAGACUCCUCCAGAAAAAGAGGGAGAGGAUUCAAAUCAAUAAAAUUAGAAAUGAAAAAGAAGUUACAACAGACACCACAGAAAUACAAAGCAUCCUAAGAGACUACUACAAGCAACUCUAAGCCAAUAAAAUGGACAACCUGGAAGAAAGGACAAAUUCUUAGAAAGGUAUAACCUUCCAAGACUGAACCAGGAAGAAAUAGAAAAUAUAAACAGACAAAUCACAAGUAAUGAAAUUGAAACUGUGAUUUAAAAACUUCCAACAAACAAAAG